ACUGGAGGUUAAGUCAUGCACUAAAUAGGGAACAAGGGAGCAUCCUAUAUCUCUCUAUAACUGUUCUGAGACCAGUGCAGACAGACAGCACACUGGAGGUUAAGUCAUGCACUAAAUAGGGAACAAGGGAGCAUCCUAUAUCUCUCUAUAACUGUUCUGAGACCAGUGCAGACAGACAGCACACUGGAGGUUAAGUCAUGCACUAAAUAGGGAACAAGGGAGCAUCCUAUAUCUCUCUAUAACUGUUCUGAGACCAGUGCAGACAGACAGCACACUGGAGGUUAAGUCAUGCACUAAAUAGGGAACAAGGGAGCAUCCUAUAUCUCUCUAUAACUGUUCUGAGACCAGUGCAGACAGACAGCACACUGGAGGUUAAGUCAUGCACUAAAUAGGGAACAAGGGAGCAUCCUAUAUCUCUCUAUAACUGUUCUGAGACCAGUGCAGACAGACAGCACACUGGAGGUUAA
Long non-coding RNA from Xyrauchen texanus (razorback sucker), 467 nucleotides. RefSeq lists it as uncharacterized. The transcript has 5 exons. Lineage: Eukaryota; Metazoa; Chordata; Actinopteri; Cypriniformes; Catostomidae. The record is from RefSeq and is a predicted model, not a curated record.